This 594-nucleotide ribosomal RNA is filed under the name Klebsiella pneumoniae. RNAcentral's name for it is "partial 23S ribosomal RNA". It matches the Rfam family "Bacterial large subunit ribosomal RNA", at positions 243 to 880 of the family's 2925-position model. Lineage: Bacteria; Pseudomonadati; Pseudomonadota; Gammaproteobacteria; Enterobacterales; Enterobacteriaceae. The record is from RNAcentral.
GUAGCGGCGAGCGAACGGGGAGCAGCCCAGAGUCUGAAUCAGCUUGUGUGUUAGUGGAACGGUCUGGAAAGUCCGACGGUACAGGGUGAUAGUCCCGUACACCAAAAUGCACAGGCUGUGAACUCGAAGAGUAGGGCGGGACACGUGGUAUCCUGUCUGAAUAUGGGGGGACCAUCCUCCAAGGCUAAAUACUCCUGACUGACCGAUAGUGAACCAGUACCGUGAGGGAAAGGCGAAAAGAACCCCGGCGAGGGGAGUGAAAAAGAACCUGAAACCGUGUACGUACAAGCAGUGGGAGCACCUUCGGGUGUGACUGCGUACCUUUUGUAUAAUGGGUCAGCGACUUAUAUUCUGUAGCAAGGUUAACCGUAUAGGGGAGCCGCAGGGAAACCGAGUCUUAACUGGGCGUUAAGUUGCAGGGUAUAGACCCGAAACCCGGUGAUCUAGCCAUGGGCAGGUUGAAGGUUGGGUAACACUAACUGGAGGACCGAACCGACUAAUGUUGAAAAAUUAGCGGAUGACUUGUGGCUGGGGGUGAAAGGCCAAUCAAACCGGGAGAUAGCUGGUUCUCCCCGAAAGCUAUUUAGGUAGCGC